This 338-nucleotide unclassified non-coding RNA is filed under the name Hevea brasiliensis (rubber tree). Lineage: Eukaryota; Viridiplantae; Streptophyta; Magnoliopsida; Malpighiales; Euphorbiaceae. The record is from RNAcentral.
AGCAGCUAUCAAGAAUAAACCGGCCUUAUAUCUCCAGCUCAUAGCAAAUUACAGAAAAAACCCAAGUAGAGAAACCGGCAGAAAUUGAAGAGAUCAGCGAGUUUCCCUCAGAUCUUUGAAACCCAGUUUAAGAUUUGUCGGUGGUCAGCGGCAGGAGCUAUUUUGAGAUCUCAUAGCUAGAGAGGGACGUACGUUUCAAUGCGCAGACAAAGAAAUGGAAACUGUUAAAGUGCAAAUGGUGUGAGUAACAAGAAUUGAAAAAGAGAUAAGAAACAAAAGCCAAAAAGAAAACGCAGAAGAGGAGGAUUAAUGGGAUUACGGGAGGCGAGGUGGAAAGG